UAAUUGAAGAGUUUGAUCAUGGCUCAGAUUGAACGCUGGCGGCAGGCCUAACACAUGCAAGUCGAACGGUAGCACAGAGAGCUUGCUCUCGGGUGACGAGUGGCGGACGGGUGAGUAAUGUCUGGGAAACUGCCCGAUGGAGGGGGAUAACUACUGGAAACGGUAGC
RNAcentral lists this ribosomal RNA (167 nucleotides) under Erwinia sp. INIA01. RNAcentral describes it as "Erwinia sp. INIA-01 partial 16S ribosomal RNA". It matches the Rfam family "Bacterial small subunit ribosomal RNA", at positions 1 to 163 of the family's 1533-position model. The record is from RNAcentral. Lineage: Bacteria; Pseudomonadati; Pseudomonadota; Gammaproteobacteria; Enterobacterales; Erwiniaceae.